AAAAAUCUUGAAUAUAUGAAUAACAUUUAAUUUAAAUAUUAUUCGCUAUAAAUUAAUUAUUGAUAUCGAUUGUUAACGUUAGAGGUUUUUUUUAAUAUAAGUAAUUAUUUUAUUGAAAAUAAACCAGGAAAAGACCUGGAUUUGAUAAACUGCACUUCCAUGGGAUUGAUUUGGUGCUCUUCUCCUUUGGUAACACGUCGGACUGACUCACCAUGGGACACCGUCACAAUUCAGUCCCUACCCUGAAAGCGUCGGUAU
This 258-nucleotide unclassified non-coding RNA is filed under the name Hevea brasiliensis (rubber tree). The record is from RNAcentral. Lineage: Eukaryota; Viridiplantae; Streptophyta; Magnoliopsida; Malpighiales; Euphorbiaceae.